GACCCUGUAGCGUAGUUGCUAUGGAGCGUUGCACCGGAAUCGCAGGGUCGCAGGUUCGAUUCCUGCCAGGGACC
Molecule: non-coding RNA, 74 nt
Organism: Paramuricea clavata
Lineage: Eukaryota; Metazoa; Cnidaria; Anthozoa; Malacalcyonacea; Plexauridae
Source: the annotation of a GenBank genome assembly